This 627-nucleotide ribosomal RNA is filed under the name uncultured bacterium. RNAcentral describes it as "bacterial SSU rRNA". It matches the Rfam family "Bacterial small subunit ribosomal RNA", at positions 789 to 1416 of the family's 1533-position model. The record is from RNAcentral.
GGUAGUNCACGCCGUAAACGAUGAGUGCUAGGUGUUAGGCCCUUUCCGGGGCUUAGUGCCGCAGCUAACGCAUUAAGCACUCCGCCUGGGGAGUACGACCGCAAGGUUGAAACUCAAAGGAAUUGACGGGGGCCCGCACAAGCGGUGGAGCAUGUGGUUUAAUUCGAAGCAACGCGAAGAACCUUACCAGGUCUUGACAUCCCGAUGCCCGCUCUAGAGAUAGAGUUUUACUUCGGUACAUCGGUGACAGGUGGUGCAUGGUUGUCGUCAGCUCGUGUCGUGAGAUGUUGGGUUAAGUCCCGCAACGAGCGCAACCCUUAUUGUUAGUUGCCAUCAUUCAGUUGGGCACUCUAGCGAGACUGCCGGUAAUAAACCGGAGGAAGGUGGGGAUGACGUCAAAUCAUCAUGCCCCUUAUGACCUGGGCUACACACGUGCUACAAUGGCUGGUACAACGAGUCGCAAGUCGGUGACGGCAAGCUAAUCUCUUAAAGCCAGUCUCAGUUCGGAUUGUAGGCUGCAACUCGCCUACAUGAAGUCGGAAUCGCUAGUAAUCGCGGAUCAGCACGCCGCGGUGAAUACGUUCCCGGGCCUUGUACACACCGCCCGUCACACCACGAGAGUUNGUA